Molecule: small nuclear RNA, 106 nt
Organism: Ochotona curzoniae (black-lipped pika)
Lineage: Eukaryota; Metazoa; Chordata; Mammalia; Lagomorpha; Ochotonidae
Source: RefSeq, a predicted model, not a curated record
AUAGAUGUGUUCAUUUAUUUUCAAAGAGAGAGAAAUGAUACAGAGAAGAUUCACAAGGCCCCUGUGCAAGAGUGACCCACAAAUUUGUGAAACAUUCCAUAUUAUA